RNAcentral lists this long non-coding RNA (1141 nucleotides) under Homo sapiens (human). Its description in RNAcentral is "HSALNT0127617". Lineage: Eukaryota; Metazoa; Chordata; Mammalia; Primates; Hominidae. The record is from RNAcentral.
AAACAUUUCUUCACCUCAGAAAGCAGAGUUGUUUCCAGUUGCCAGCUUCUUUCCACAUUCUCAGAUCAGCCUCAUUGUGCUACCUAGAAAGCCCUUCUUAAAUGUCUGAAUCCAAGACUUGCGGGGGAUUCCUCCUCUGAGCAAAUGGAGCAUUAGUAGCAGUCAGAGAUGCCAUCUUCUCAGAGCUCUGCAGAGGAGCCAUUGAAGAAUACUGUUGUCCUAUCCCAGAAGGAGCAAGCGGACAACACUGAUAUCCUGACCACUAACCAUCCAGCACCACUUAAAGAGGUCCCAAAACCCCCGGCUGUCUACCAAUACCCAUCUGUGACCUCUUAGGAACCGAGCUUCACAGCAGGAGGUGAAUGGUGGACAAGCGAGCAUUAUCGCCUCAGCUCCACCUCCUGUCAGUUUUAAAAAGAAUAACAGAAAGAAAGAAGUGGCUGAAACCUAAAUGCCAUAUGGAGAAGACAGCUAAUUGCCACACUCUCCUCUUUGGUCUUUCCUGGUACGCAGCAUACAAGCCCACAGAUUGAGGACUCUGCACUUGCUGUUCUCUCUGCCUGGAGCUCUAUGGCUCCAGAUAGACUCCUGCCAACUCCUUCGCCUUGUCCAAGUUACCUUCAUUAAAUGUCAGCUUAAAUGUGUGCCUACUUUUUGCCCUACCUAGAAUUGCAAGCACCUCUCACCACUGUGCUCCCAUUCUCCUUAACUUAAGCCACUUUUAUUCUCAUAAUAAAGCCACAUAUUUUUUCUUAUUAUAUCAUAAUCGUACUGUAUAAUUUAUAUUUUAUUACUUUUGUUUGUAUACUUAUUGUAUGUUUCUGUUCACAAGGAUGUAAACCCCAUGAACACAGAGAUCUUUGAUUGUUUUAUUCACUGAUUUAUGCCAAAUGUUUGGAACAAUGCCUGGCACAUAGUAGAUGUUUGAUAAUUUUUUUUUUUUCUGAAUGAAUAAAUACAUUUUAGCCAAAUAUGCUGACUCUGCUUGUUUGGUUAUAUUUAUGUGUGUGUGAAUGUAUGUGCAGAAAAAGAAGAAAUUAGUUAAUACCAAAUCUAUAAAAUGGGAAAAAUAAUGCUUACCUUAUAGUGUUGUUAUGAAACUCAACUAAUAUAAGAUAUGUGAAGGGUCUAGCAUAAAAUG